GGGCAGCAGCAGAACAUAGUCCAGCAAAUGUUCCUUCACUUUUUCAGGGUUGCCUCACUUUGCAGAGCCUUGAAAUUGAUGAAGAAGGUAUUUCCCUUCUAGUGGAAGACAUCAAAUAUGCGUCUCACCAGCCUUCUGAAGGUGAUCGUGGCUUCAUUGUGGCUAGGAUCCAGUAUUGCCCAGAAGGUAACUCAAGCCCAACCACCAAAGUUCACGCAGGAGAAGGAGACUGUGAACCUGGACUGUACAUACGACACCAGUGAUCCAACAUAUAGCCUAUUCUGGUACAAGCAGCCCAGCAGUGGGGCGAUGAUUCUUCUUAUUCGUCAGGACACUUAUAGCCAAAAAAAUGCCACAGAAGGUCGCUACUCACUGAAUUUCCAGAAGGCAAACAAAUCCAUCCAACUUGUCAUCUCAGAUGCACAGGUGGAGGACUCUGCAGUCUACUUCUGUGCACUGAGUGAGCCCACAGUGAGAGGUGUGUUGGAGGGAGGUGUACCAAAACCCACAGUUCUCCUUGAUACAUCCACCUGCUGUUGGGUCCAGGGCUGAGAGUUGCCAUCACAGACAGGAAGUGGUUAGGGCUGUGGCAGCACAGGUGUAGGGUCAGAGGGAAAACACUCAGUCUAAGAAAUACCUUUCUAGGUUCAUAGACUAUGUCUGGAACUAACAUUCAUCAAAAUCAUUCUUAUCCCUGAAUCAUUGGCU
This is a non-coding RNA of Phacochoerus africanus (Common warthog), 708 nucleotides long. Lineage: Eukaryota; Metazoa; Chordata; Mammalia; Artiodactyla; Suidae. The record is from the annotation of a RefSeq genome assembly.